UACGGAGGGUGCGAGCGUUGUCCGGAUUUAUUGGGUUUAAAGGGUGCGUAGGUGGGUUAAUAAGUCAGUGGUGAAAUACGGUUGCUCAACAAUCGAGGUGCCAUUGAUACUGUUAAUCUUGAAACAAGUGGAGGUUGCCGGAAUGGAUGGUGUAGCGGUGAAAUGCGUAGAUAUCUGGAGGAAUACCGGUGGCGAAGGCGGCAUCCUGGACCGGCAUUGACGCUGAACAGCGAAAGCUAGGGGAGCAAACGGG
Molecule: ribosomal RNA, 253 nt
Filed under: uncultured bacterium
Lineage: Bacteria
Description: partial 16S ribosomal RNA
Rfam family: Bacterial small subunit ribosomal RNA
Source: RNAcentral